GCGCGAGUGGCGGAAUGGCAGACGCGCUGGCUUCAGGUGCCAGUGUCCGUAAGGACGUGGGGGUUCAAGUCCCCCCUCGCGCACC
RNAcentral lists this transfer RNA (85 nucleotides) under Glycomyces rutgersensis. Its description in RNAcentral is "tRNA-Leu". It matches the Rfam family "tRNA". From Rfam's summary of the family: Transfer RNA (tRNA) molecules are approximately 80 nucleotides in length. Their secondary structure includes four short double-helical elements and three loops (D, anti-codon, and T loops). RNAcentral also lists the same sequence under 2 other names. The record is from RNAcentral. Lineage: Bacteria; Bacillati; Actinomycetota; Actinomycetes; Glycomycetales; Glycomycetaceae.